Molecule: ribosomal RNA, 545 nt
Filed under: uncultured bacterium
Lineage: Bacteria
Description: bacterial SSU rRNA
Rfam family: Bacterial small subunit ribosomal RNA
Source: RNAcentral
UGGGGAAUAUGGACAAUGGGCGAAAGUGAUCCACCAUGCCGCGUGUGUGAAGAAGGCCUUUUGGUUGUAAAGCACUUUAAGUGGGGAGGAAAAGCUUAUGGUUAAUACCCAUAAGCCCUGACGUUACCCACAGAAUAAGCACCGGCUAACUCUGUGCCAGCAGCCGCGGUAAUACAGAGGGUGCAAGCGUUAAUCGGAAUUACUGGGCGUAAAGCGCGCGUAGGUGGUUAUUUAAGUCAGAUGUGAAAGCCCCGGGCUUAACCUGGGAACUGCAUCUGAUACUGGAUAACUAGAGUAGGUGAGAGGGGAGUAGAAUUCCAGGUGUAGCGGUGAAAUGCGUAGAGAUCUGGAGGAAUACCGAUGGCGAAGGCAGCUCCCUGGCAUCAUACUGACACUGAGGUGCGAAAGCGUGGGUAGCAAACAGGAUUAGAUACCCUGGUAGUCCACGCCGUAAACGAUGUCUACCAGUCGUUGGGUCUUUUAAAGACUUAGUGACGCAGUUAACGCAAUAAGUAGACCGUCUGGGGAGUACGGCCGCAAGGUUA